This 118-nucleotide ribosomal RNA is filed under the name uncultured bacterium. RNAcentral describes it as "partial 16S ribosomal RNA". The record is from RNAcentral.
UAUUCCUACGCUACCGUCAAGCCCUACACGUAGGAGUGUUUCUUGGCGUAGAAAAGCAGUUUACAACCCAUAGGGCCGUCAUCCUGCACGCGGGAUGGCUGGUUCAGACUCGCGUCCA